UACGUAGGUGGCAAGCGUUGUCCGGAUUUACUGGGCGUAAAGGAUGCGUAGGCGGACAUUUAAGUCAGAUGUGAAAUACCCGAGCUUAACUUGGGUGCUGCAUUUGAAACUGGGUGUCUAGAGUGCAGGAGAGGUAAGUGGAAUUCCUAGUGUAGCGGUGAAAUGCGUAGAGAUUAGGAAGAACACCAGUGGCGAAGGCGACUCUUUGGCCUGUAACUGACGCUGAGGCGCGAAAGCGUGGGGAGCAAACAGG
RNAcentral lists this ribosomal RNA (253 nucleotides) under uncultured bacterium. RNAcentral describes it as "partial 16S ribosomal RNA". It matches the Rfam family "Bacterial small subunit ribosomal RNA", at positions 524 to 776 of the family's 1533-position model. The record is from RNAcentral.